RNAcentral lists this ribosomal RNA (403 nucleotides) under bacterium. Its description in RNAcentral is "partial 16S ribosomal RNA". It matches the Rfam family "Bacterial small subunit ribosomal RNA", at positions 355 to 776 of the family's 1533-position model. The record is from RNAcentral.
UGGGGAAUAUUGCACAAUGGAGGGAACUCUGAUGCAGCGACGCCGCGUGAACGAAGAAGGCUUUCGAGUCGUAAAGUUCUUUUAUAUGGGAAGAUAAUGACGGUACCAUAAGAAAAAGCUCCGGCUAACUACGUGCCAGCAGCCGCGGUAAUACGUAGGGGGCUAGCGUUGUCCGGAAUCACUGGGCGUAAAGGGUUCGCAGGCGGAAAUGCAAGUCAGGUGUAAAAGGCAGUAGCUUAACUACUGUAAGCAUUUGAAACUGCGUAUCUUGAGAAGAGUAGAGGUAAGUGGAAUUUUUAGUGUAGCGGUGAAAUGCGUAGAUAUUAAAAAGAAUACCGGUUGCGAAGGCGACUUACUGGGCUCAUUCUGACGCUGAGGAACGAAAGCGUGGGUAGCAAACAGG